Molecule: transfer RNA, 86 nt
Filed under: Ferruginibacter sp.
Lineage: Bacteria; Pseudomonadati; Bacteroidota; Chitinophagia; Chitinophagales; Chitinophagaceae
Description: tRNA-Leu
Rfam family: tRNA
About the family: Transfer RNA (tRNA) molecules are approximately 80 nucleotides in length. Their secondary structure includes four short double-helical elements and three loops (D, anti-codon, and T loops).
Source: RNAcentral
GCCCCGGUGGUGGAAUUGGUAGACACGCAGGACUUAAAAUCCUGUUGGCAGCAAUGCCAGUAACGGUUCAAUUCCGUUCCGGGGCA